GGCAAAAUGAGAGCCCGACUGUCUCUUAUAACUAAUCAAUUAAACUGAUCUCCCAGUACAAAAGCUGGGAUACCCCCAUAAGACCAGAAGACCCUGUGAAGCUUUAACUAAACUAUUAAAUCCAAUAAUAACUAAUUUCGGUUGGGGCGACCUUGGAACAAAAAAGAACUUCCAAUAUAUGACCUACUCAUACAAAAGGCAAACAAGCCACAUUAGACCCAGUAUACCUGAUUAAUGAACCAAGUUACUCCAGGGAUAACAGCGCCAUCUUCUUCAAGAGCCCAUAUCAAAAAGAAGGUUUACGACCUCGAUGUUGGAUCAGGACAUCCUAGUAAUGCAACCGUUACUAAGGGUUCGUUUGUUCAACGAUUAACAGUCCUACGUGA
RNAcentral lists this ribosomal RNA (386 nucleotides) under Vipera dinniki (Dinnik's viper). Its description in RNAcentral is "partial 16S ribosomal RNA". It matches the Rfam family "Bacterial large subunit ribosomal RNA", at positions 1998 to 2603 of the family's 2925-position model. Lineage: Eukaryota; Metazoa; Chordata; Lepidosauria; Squamata; Viperidae. The record is from RNAcentral.